AUUGAACGCUGGCGGCAGGCCUAACACAUGCAAGUCGAGCGAGCGGCGGACGGGGGAGUAAUGUAUGGGGACUGCCCGAUAGAGGGGGAUAACACUAGGAAACGGGAGCUAAUAUAGCAUACUAUCGGAUAAUCCAGAUGGGAUUAGCUAGUGGGUGAGGGAAUGGCUCACCUAGGCGACGAUCCCUAGCUGGUCUGAGAGGAUGAUCAGCCACACUGGGACUGAGACACGGCCCAGACUCCUACGGAGGCAGCAGUGGGGAAUAUUGCACAAUGGGCGCAAGCCUGAUGCAGCCAUGCCGCGUGUAUGAAGAAGGCCCUAGGGUUGUAAAGUACUUUCAGUCGGGAGGCGUUACCGACAGAAGAAGCACCGGCUAACUCCGUGCCAGCCGCCGCGGUAAUAC
RNAcentral lists this ribosomal RNA (403 nucleotides) under uncultured bacterium. Its description in RNAcentral is "partial 16S ribosomal RNA". It matches the Rfam family "Bacterial small subunit ribosomal RNA", at positions 30 to 526 of the family's 1533-position model. The record is from RNAcentral.